This 425-nucleotide ribosomal RNA is filed under the name uncultured bacterium. Its description in RNAcentral is "partial 16S ribosomal RNA". It matches the Rfam family "Bacterial small subunit ribosomal RNA", at positions 354 to 796 of the family's 1533-position model. The record is from RNAcentral.
GUGGGGAAUAUUGGGCAAUGGGCGAAAGCCUGACCCAGCAACGCCGCGUGAAGGAAGAAGGUCUUCGGAUCGUAAACUUCUAUCCUUGGUGAAGAUAAUGACGGUAGCCGAGAAGGAAGCCCCGCCUAACUACGUGCCAGCAGCCGCGGUAAUACGUAGGGGGCAAGCGUUGUCCGGAAUGAUUGGGCGUAAAGGGCGCGUAGGCGGCCUGGUAAGUCUGGAAUGAAAGUCCUGCUUUUAAGGUGGAAAUUGCUUUGGAUACUGUCGGGCUUGAGUGCAGGGGAGAUAAGUGGAAUUGCCGGUGUAGCGGUGAAAUGCGUAGAGAUCGGGAGGAACACCAGUGGCGAAGGCGACUUACUGGACUGUAACUGACGCUGAGGCGCGAAAGUGUGGGGAGCAAACAGGAUUAGAAACCCGAGUAGUCC